ACGCGGCGGUGAAUACGUUCCCGGGCCUUGUACACACCGCCCGUCACGUCAUGGGAGCUGGCCUUACCCGAAGUCGCUCGCCCAACGGGGCAACCCGAGGGAGGUGCCUAGGGUGAGGCUGGUGACUGGGACGAAGUCGUAACAAGGUAGCCGUACGGGAACGUGCGGCUGGAUCACCUCCUUUCUAGGGAG
Molecule: ribosomal RNA, 192 nt
Filed under: Chloroflexota bacterium
Lineage: Bacteria; Bacillati; Chloroflexota
Description: Chloroflexi bacterium (sediment metagenome) partial 16S ribosomal RNA
Rfam family: Bacterial small subunit ribosomal RNA
Source: RNAcentral